GCCCUUCGGGGUACACGAGCGGCGAACGGGUGAGUAACACGUGAGUAACCUGCCCCUGACUCUGGGAUAAGCGGUGGAAACGCCGUCUAAUACCGGAUACGACCCGCCACCUCAUGGUGGAGGGUGGAAAGUUUUUCGGUCAGGGAUGGGCUCGCGGCCUAUCAGCUUGUUGGUGGGGUAACGGCCUACCAAGGCGAUUACGGGUAGCCGGCCUGAGAGGGCGACCGGCCACACUGGGACUGAGACACGGCCCAGACUCCUGCGGGAGGCAGCAGUGGGGAAUAUUGCGCAAUGGGCGAAAGCCUGACGCAGCGACGCCGCGUGGGGGAUGACGGCCUUCGGGUUGUAAACCUCUUUUACCACCAACGCAGGCUUCCAGUUCUCUGGAGGUUGACGGUAGGUGGGGAAUAAGGACCGGCUAACUACGUGCCAGCAGCCGCGGUAAUACGUAGGGUCCGAGCGUUGUCCGGAAUUAUUGGGCGUAAAGAGCUCGUAGGCGGCGUGUCGCGUCUGCUGUGAAAGACCGGGGCUUAACUCCGGUUCUGCAGUGGAUACGGGCAUGCUAGAGGUAGGUAGGGGAGACUGGAAUUCCUGGUGUAGCGGUGAAAUGCGCAGAUAUCAGGAGGAACACCGGUGGCGAAGGCGGGUCUCUGGGCCUUACCUGACGCUGAGGAGCGAAAGCAUGGGGAGCGAACAGGAUUAGAUACCCUGGUAGUCCAUGCCGUAAACGUUGGGGCGCUAGG
This 743-nucleotide ribosomal RNA is filed under the name Nocardiopsis sp. MJ606. RNAcentral's name for it is "bacterial SSU rRNA". It matches the Rfam family "Bacterial small subunit ribosomal RNA", at positions 75 to 820 of the family's 1533-position model. The record is from RNAcentral. Lineage: Bacteria; Bacillati; Actinomycetota; Actinomycetes; Streptosporangiales; Nocardiopsidaceae.